UGGGGAAUAUUGCGCAAUGGGCGGAAGCCUGACGCAGCGAUGCCGCGUGGGGGAUGACGGCCUUCGGGUUGUAAACCUCUUUCAGCAGGGACGAAGCGAAAGUGACGGUACCUGCAGAAGAAGCACCGGCCAACUACGUGCCAGCAGCCGCGGUAAUACGUAGGGUGCAAGCGUUGUCCGGAAUUAUUGGGCGUAAAGAGCUCGUAGGCGGUUUGUUGCGUCGGCUGUGAAAUCCCGAGGCUCAACCUCGGGUCUGCAGUCGAUACGAGCAAACUAGAGUGUUGCAGGGGAGACUGGAAUUCCUGGUGUAGCGGUGAAAUGCGCAGAUAUCAGGAGGAACACCGGUGGCGAAGGCGGGUCUC
Molecule: ribosomal RNA, 362 nt
Filed under: uncultured bacterium
Lineage: Bacteria
Description: bacterial SSU rRNA
Rfam family: Bacterial small subunit ribosomal RNA
Source: RNAcentral